Molecule: ribosomal RNA, 492 nt
Filed under: uncultured bacterium
Lineage: Bacteria
Description: partial 16S ribosomal RNA
Rfam family: Bacterial small subunit ribosomal RNA
Source: RNAcentral
AGUGAACGCUGGCGGUAGGCCUAACACAUGCAAGCCGAACGGCAGCACAGUGAGAGCUUGCUCUUACGGGUGGCGAGUGGCGGACGGGUGAGGAAUACAUCGGAAUCUACUUUUUCGUGGGGGAUAACGUAGGGAAACUUACGCUAAUACCGCAUACGACCUACGGGUGAAAGCAGGGGAUCUUCGGACCUUGCGCGAUUGAAUGAGCCGAUGUCGGAUUAGCUAGUUGGCGGGGUAAAGGCCCACCAAGGCGACGAUCCGUAGCUGGUCUGAGAGGAUGAUCAGCCACACUGGAACUGAGACACGGUCCAGACUCCUACGGGAGGCAGCAGUGGGGAAUAUUGGACAAAGGGCGCAAGCCUGAUCCAGCCAUGCCGCGUGGGUGAAGAAGGCCUUCGGGUUGUAAAGCCCUUUUGUUGGGAAAGAAAAGCAGCAGGUUAAUACCCCGCUGUUCUGACGGUACCCAAAGAAUAAGUACCGGCUAACUUCGUG